This 523-nucleotide unclassified non-coding RNA is filed under the name Hevea brasiliensis (rubber tree). Lineage: Eukaryota; Viridiplantae; Streptophyta; Magnoliopsida; Malpighiales; Euphorbiaceae. The record is from RNAcentral.
AUGCUACAAACAUCUCCCACCCAAACCCAGCGAAAGAGGAUCCAAAUCCUAACAAAUAUGGAGCCCUUGACUAACUAGGUAAGAACCGAUUUCCAUCUUCAGUAGCAGCCGGUGAGCUUCCUCCAUCACUAACAACACUCCACUGGCCUCGAUAGGGGAAAGCUUGGCAGAAACUCAAGCCAUACAGGGGAGACUAAUGAUCAACAUUAGAAAGGAGCAUAAUCACCCCAAACAAACCAAAAACCUCCCCUUCUUCCAACGCUUAUAAACCCAGAUGGGCAGGAGAUUUGUAGCAAACACCGACUUAGAACAGAGACUUGGACCAGUGCCGGAUGGACCGGGAAAAGGUUUGGCAUAUCCAGGACCUUGCAUGCGAAGCACUGACAGCAAAGGUGACUCCAUCGGUACCGAAGCUCUGCUACUGCCAACCAAACUACUCCCAUGAGUAUCAUACCCACUUCAAAGGGAGAACUCCUGCAACACUAGGAAUAACCACAGAGACCCAACUAAAGCCUCAUUCAAG